This 258-nucleotide ribosomal RNA is filed under the name uncultured bacterium. Its description in RNAcentral is "partial 16S ribosomal RNA". It matches the Rfam family "Bacterial small subunit ribosomal RNA", at positions 524 to 776 of the family's 1533-position model. The record is from RNAcentral.
UACGGAGGGGGGCUAGCGUUUGUUCGGAAUUACUGGGCGUAAAGCGCACGUAGGCGGCUUUGUAAGUUAGAGGUGAAAGCCCAGGGCUUAACCCUGGAAUUGCCUUUAAGACUGCAUCGCUAGAAUCGUGGAGAGGUGAGUGGAAUUCCGAGUGUAGAGGUGAAAUUCGUAGAUAUUCGGAAGAACACCAGUGGCGAAGGCGACUCACUGGACACGUAUUUGACGCUGAGGUGCGAAAAGCGUGGGGGAGCAAACAGG